Molecule: ribosomal RNA, 550 nt
Filed under: uncultured bacterium
Lineage: Bacteria
Description: bacterial SSU rRNA
Rfam family: Bacterial small subunit ribosomal RNA
Source: RNAcentral
ACGUAAUAGAUACCCGGGUAGUCCACGCCGUAAACGAUGGGUACUAGGUUUUAUGGGAAUUGACCCCUGUGGAACCGGAGCUAAACGCAAAUAAAGUACCCCGCCUGGGAAGUACGGUCGCAAGACUAAAACUCAAAGGAAUUGACGGGGGCCCGCACAAGCGGUGGAUCAUGUGGUUUAAUUCGAAGCAACGCGCAAAACCUUACCUGGGUUUGACAUCCUCUGACCGCUGUAGAAAUACAGUUUUGUAGCAAUACAACAGAGAGACAGGUGCUGCAUGGCUGUCGUCAGCUCGUGUGGUGACAUGUUGGGUUAAGUCCCGCAACGAGCGCAACCCUUGUCUUUAGUUGCCAGCAUUAAGUUGGGCACUCUAGAGAGACUGCCGUGGUUAACACGGAGGAAGGUGGGGAUGACGUCAAGUCCUCAUGGCCUUUAUAUCCAGGGCGACACACGUGAUACAAUGGAUGACACAAAGGGAAGCGAACCCGCGAGGGGGAGCUAAUCUCAAAAAGUCAUUCUCAGUUCGGAUUGGAGUCUGCAACUCGACUCC